AAUCAACGCUGGCGGCGUGCCUAACACAUGCAAGUCGAACGCGAGAGGGGCUUCGGCCCUGAUUGAGUGGCAAACGGGUGAGUAACGCGUGGGUGACCUACCUUCGAGUGGGGGAUAACGUUCCGAAAGGGACGCUAAUACCGCAUAACAUCCUGUCUUUGGACAGAUGGAGAUCAAAGCCGGGGAUCGUAAGACCUGGCGCUUGAGGAGGGCCCGCGUCCGAUUAGCUAGUUGGUGGGAAUGGCUCACCAAGGCAACGAUCGGUAGCCGGCCUGAGAGGGCGGACGGCCACACUGGGACUGAGACACGGCCCAGACUCCUACGGGAGGCAGCAGUGGGGAAUUGUUCGCAAUGGGCGCAAGCCUGACGACGCAACGCCGCGUGAAGGAUGAAGGUCUUCGGAUUGUAAACUUCUGUUGAUCGGGACGAACAG
RNAcentral lists this ribosomal RNA (433 nucleotides) under uncultured bacterium. RNAcentral's name for it is "bacterial SSU rRNA". It matches the Rfam family "Bacterial small subunit ribosomal RNA", at positions 32 to 452 of the family's 1533-position model. The record is from RNAcentral.